RNAcentral lists this ribosomal RNA (485 nucleotides) under Streptococcus sp. oral taxon C65. RNAcentral's name for it is "bacterial SSU rRNA". It matches the Rfam family "Bacterial small subunit ribosomal RNA", at positions 28 to 495 of the family's 1533-position model. Lineage: Bacteria; Bacillati; Bacillota; Bacilli; Lactobacillales; Streptococcaceae. The record is from RNAcentral.
GACGAACGCUGGCGGCGUGCCUAAUACAUGCAAGUAGAACGCUGAAGAGAGGAGCUUGCUCUUCUUGGAUGAGUUGCGAACGGGUGAGUAACGCGUAGGUAACCUGCCUUGUAGCGGGGGAUAACUAUUGGAAACGAUAGCUAAUACCGCAUAACAAUGGAUGACACAUGUCAUUUAUUUGAAAGGGGCAAUUGCUCCACUACAAGAUGGACCUGCGUUGUAUUAGCUAGUAGGUGAGGUAACGGCUCACCUAGGCGACGAUACAUAGCCGACCUGAGAGGGUGAUCGGCCACACUGGGACUGAGACACGGCCCAGACUCCUACGGGAGGCAGCAGUAGGGAAUCUUCGGCAAUGGGGGCAACCCUGACCGAGCAACGCCGCGUGAGUGAAGAAGGUUUUCGGAUCGUAAAGCUCUGUUGUAAGUCAAGAACGAGUGUGAGAGUGGAAAGUUCACACUGUGACGGUAGCUUACCAGAAAGGGCGG